CUUUGAAAUCUACUGUAACUUUAUCUUUGAAAUCUACUGUAACUUUAUCUUUGAAAUCUACUGUAACUUUAGAAUACUUAAAUGUCAUCAUGUCAACUCAAUGAAACGAGUUCAUGCCUGAAUUAUUGUGUAUAUACUUUAUACUGUCUAUUGAAAUGAAGUCUACAGUCGUAUCAUGUUGUUUAUCAAUGUUUUAUUGUCCAUACAAUAUCCCAUAAUUGUAUGCUAAAGUGUCUAUCUAUACUCAUUCUAAAUGUAGUGUAACUCGUUGUUCUCUUUAUAAAGCAAUGUCUUUAGUUCAAAUGCAAGCAACUACUUUUACAGGUCAACUGGACCGACACCAUUCUUAUAGAAGGUCUCAACACUAAGCUGCAACGUCACAACCUGUGGGCAGUUUAGACCAAUAGCUCAUUGCCACGUGAACAGAUCUGUGUUCAGGCCUUCUAAAACGAUUGAAUUUUUAAAAAGUAAGAACCAAAUUGUUUGAACUAGUUCAAUGCAUUGUACGUUUGAUACCCCGGUAGAACAAACGUUGAGUUGAACAAAAGUUGGGUUGAACUAAAGUUGGGUUGAACUAA
This is a non-coding RNA of Biomphalaria pfeifferi, 578 nucleotides long. The record is from the annotation of a GenBank genome assembly. Lineage: Eukaryota; Metazoa; Mollusca; Gastropoda; Planorbidae.